This 253-nucleotide ribosomal RNA is filed under the name uncultured bacterium. RNAcentral describes it as "partial 16S ribosomal RNA". It matches the Rfam family "Bacterial small subunit ribosomal RNA", at positions 524 to 776 of the family's 1533-position model. The record is from RNAcentral.
GACAGAGGGUGCAAACGUUGUUCGGAAUUACUGGGCGUAAAGCGCGUGUAGGCGGCCCUGCAAGUCGGAUGUGAAAUCCCACGGCUCAACCGUGGAAGUGCAUUCGAAACUGCAGGGCUAGAGUCCUGGAGAGGAAGGUGGAAUGCUUGGUGUAGAGGUGAAAUUCGUAGAUAUCAAGCGGAACACCGGUGGCGAAGGCGGCCUUCUGGACAGUGACUGACGCCGAGACGCGAAAGCGUGGGGAGCAAACAGG